This 501-nucleotide ribosomal RNA is filed under the name uncultured bacterium. Its description in RNAcentral is "partial 16S ribosomal RNA". It matches the Rfam family "Bacterial small subunit ribosomal RNA", at positions 30 to 523 of the family's 1533-position model. The record is from RNAcentral.
AUUGAACGCUGGCGGCAGGCUUAACACAUGCAAGUCGAGCGGGGGAAGGUAGCUUGCUACCGGACCUAGCGGCGGACGGGUGAGUAAUGCUUAGGAAUCUGCCUAUUAGUGGGGGACAACAUCUCGAAAGGGAUGCUAAUACCGCAUACGUCCUACGGGAGAAAGCAGGGGAUCUUCGGACCUUGCGCUAAUAGAUGAGCCUAAGUCGGAUUAGCUAGUUGGUGGGGUAAAGGCCUACAAAGGCGACGAUCUGUAGCGGGUCUGAGAGGAUGAUCCGCCACACGGGGACUGAGACACGGCACAGACUCCUACGGGAGGCAGCAGUGGGGAAUAUUGGACAAUGGGGGGAACCCUGAUCCAGCCAUGCCGCGUGUGUGAAGAAGGCCUUAUGGUUGUAAAGCACUUUAAGCGAGGAGGAGGCUACUCUAGUUAAUACCUAGGGAUAGUGGACGCUACUCGCAGAAUAAGCACCGGCUAACUCUGUGCCAGCCGCCGCCGUAA